This 46-nucleotide non-coding RNA is filed under the name Schistosoma mattheei. The record is from RNAcentral. Lineage: Eukaryota; Metazoa; Platyhelminthes; Trematoda; Strigeidida; Schistosomatidae.
GCACUUCUGAGCAGUCCUACAACAGGACGAAACGGUCGUCCAGUGC